UACGUAGGUGGCAAGCGUUAUCCGGAUUUAUUGGGCGUAAAGGGAACGCAGGCGGUCUUUUAAGUCUGAUGUGAAAGCCUUCGGCUUAACCGGAGUAGUGCAUUGGAAACUGGGAGACUUGAAUGCAGAAGAGGAGAGUGGAACUCCAUGUGUAGCGGUGAAAUGCGUAGAUAUAUGGAAGAACACCAGUGGCGAAAGCGGCUCUCUGGUCUGUAACUGACGCUGAGGUUCGAAAGCGUGGGUAGCAAACAGG
Molecule: ribosomal RNA, 253 nt
Filed under: uncultured bacterium
Lineage: Bacteria
Description: partial 16S ribosomal RNA
Rfam family: Bacterial small subunit ribosomal RNA
Source: RNAcentral